This is a long non-coding RNA of Phyllopteryx taeniolatus (common seadragon), 4576 nucleotides long. RefSeq lists it as uncharacterized. The transcript has 3 exons. Lineage: Eukaryota; Metazoa; Chordata; Actinopteri; Syngnathiformes; Syngnathidae. The record is from RefSeq and is a predicted model, not a curated record.
CUCCAAACAUUUUCCUGGUCUCUUUUUUUAGAUGUUCCCUUCGUCCCCCUUGUCAAACACCAACUUAGCGUUCUGGUUUUGCAAUUUGAAAUGAGUCGCCGUUCUUGUGUUGCUGUACUUUCUAGAUGAUUCACUGACGUUAACUACUGAUGUAGGCUUCAUACCAGGAAAAUGACUGUGCUUUCUUUUCCGUGCAUUUUUUUUUUUAGUUCCUGUUUUCCUUUGAACUACAAUGGGCACACACAAAAAAGUCAAUCUGAUAAACUAUGUAAGAAAAAAAAAGUCAGUCAGUUAUGAACACUUGACUACAUUCCCUUGAGCAACUCUGGGGGAAAAAAAUAACACAUUUUAAACCAUUUUAAUAUUUUUUACCAAUAAUAAAAUGAAUUGUAUUUGAAUGGAGGGUAAUCCAAUUGAGAUUAAAACGUAAACGAAUGUGCCUUUUUACACAUUGUUAAGACCUCUCUUUUUGAAUGCUAUAUUUCAAAUAAUGAAUCAUGAAAUGAACAUAACUGCAUAUCUGAAAUGGCGUUGGCUUCAAACAAGUUGAGAGUGAAAGCGAGCACCGAAGGAUGGGCUCCAUCAAUUCCACACAAUUGAGAGGAUUCCCAACAAUCCAUUGAUUGACUUAUUGAUUCGCAUGCGCGACUCGAGUGGAGCAAGCGAUUUUUCUUUUAUUAGCACGGUUAAUGAUUUGUGCCAGCACCCCGGUUUAAAAAAAAAGAAAAGAAAAAAUGCAUUGACUAUGUUGCUCACGAUGCAAUUUGGGUAUGCGCUGCCCCACACUGCAAUGAAUCUAAAGGGAGAGACGACGGGAGCGGCAAAUCAAAGAAGGCGCACGCAGGAAAUUAUUUUAAAAAUGUAUAUUUGUACCAUGGAAUACCUUCACAAGUGAAUACACUGAUAAUGAAAAGGUACUGCACAUAUCGUGGUGAGAAGUAUGGAAAGAAUGACAAUGUGAAAACUACUUCCACGCCCUUCAGAUCUGUUGGAUCCUGUCCUCUAAACUUCACAAAUGUAAGAACAUUUCGAGAGAACCAAUGACGCUAUGAUACUGACAAUAGCAAGCUUAAUUCACACGACUAAUGAAGUGAUGCCAUAGAUGUCAGCGCUAUAAUGAAGCGCCGCGAAGCAAAUGUCGAUCGCUCGACCUUGCCAUUAUCACGUGAAACCAGGCAGUGGCUCGUUGAGCUCCGAUGUUCGCCGUCGUUUGACCUUCGGCUUUAGAGCAGCGAUACAUUGCUGACAAGUACGCAAAUUGGAGUCUGCGCAACUUUGAUGAAGAUCAAGCACAGUUUUUCCCUCAGUGACUUCAAGCUGCGAUGACUUGUUAGCUCCGAAGUCGUUCUUUCCGCCGUCUGAAGCUUCUACCGCCACAUUGUAGAUUUGGUUGCACGCACAGCACAGGCCGUUUUAUUGAACUCACGUCCACAUUUUGUAUUUGUUCAUUUGAGAUCUCAACAUUAUUAUUAUUUAAUGAAGGCAUGUCAUUGGUUUGAAUGGAGUCGAUGUCAUUCGAGUACAGCGGCUAGUUUUAUCGUUGAAGCUGACUUCUAUGCCGCAUUAUAAACGUAACGUAUGCUCCUCGAUCGGCUGGCGACCGGCUCAUGCCUACGUUAGCCGGGAUGGGACGUUGUGAUUACCGAGGAAUGUUGUACAAGUGGUCAUUUGAAAAGGUACACACUUGCAGAAAUGUAUAUCAGAAUCAGAAUCAUCUUUAUUUGCCAAGUAUGUCCAAAACACACAAGGAAUUUGUCUCCGGUAGUUGGAGCCGCUCGAGUACGACAACAGACGGUCAAUUGACAGAACACUUUGGAGACAUAAAGACAUUGACAAAAAACAACAACAAACAACAAUUGUGCAAAAAGAUGCAGAGUCCUCAGUUCGAAUGGCUAAUAUCGCAAUAGUCCGGUGCGAUGACCAUUGUGCAAAGGCCACUGAGAGUUCAAGGAGCGUAUGCGGUUUAAUGGUGUUGUAUAUUGAUAAUGAUCCUGUUUCCUCUCUCGUUGUUGCGUUUCAACCUUGGACUCAGUUUGUUUUUAAAUCCCUUCAUAGUCUCGCCACACGCUACUUGUCUGACCUUAGACCCCACCGCGUUCAACCAGGAGUGUCAAAGUCGUUAUUGUCGCAACUCAUCGUAGUUACAGCUUCCCUUAGAGGGAGGUUACGUCUGUGAAACCAUGUAAAUGUUUAAUCACCUCAUCAUAUUAUUAUACAUACACAACAACUUGACGGAUAACUAGUUUUGAAAUCAGAAGUCAAGGUUAAGAGUUUGUUCUGCUAUGGAUCAAGUUACUGUAAAAAUGGUUGUGGUAACAAAAAAAUGCUUGCAAUAUGUCAAGUUAUUAUUUAUUACAUUUUGGCACAGAUUUUAGCAAUAAUUAUUGAAGUUGACACACAUGAUUUUCACAUAAAAAUGAUGUGGCCCCCGGGCCUUGAGUUUGACCCCUGUGCCUCAGGUCGCCAGAUGGCUGUUUGCUAGCUGUCUCUCAAUCAAAGAGAAAACUUCGUGGGGAGCGCCCAUUCUCAGUUGCUGCCCCGAAGUUGUGGCAUGAGCGCCCUCUGCACCUUGGACGGCCGAUUCAUUUCCUGUUUUCAAAUCCUCUCUUAAAACGUUUUUCUUCCUUUUACCUCAGGCUGAGAUGUUGAUUUGAAUCCUUAUCUUCUUUUUUUUUUUUUUUGUUCAGGCUGAGAUGUUGAUUUGAAUCCUUAUCUUGUUUUUUUUGUUUGUUUUUUAAAUUGGUGUUAGUCUGAAAGUGAUUGCAAGUUCCAAUGUUGUAUUUGUGACUCUGCGUAUGUUUCAUCAAAUAAAAAUUUCUCAACCCGCCCUUGUGGACAUGACACAAGCACAUCCGUUUGGUGUGAGACGGAGAGGCCGCCGCCGCAGUUUGUGCUAUUGUAGUUGGUGUGUUUGUUAGUCGCUCCCCUUAAUUGCCUCAUCAGUAAAUGUCAAACGCUCAAAUGAGUGCGCUAUUUCGAUUUAUUCAGUCGUUUGCGCUCCAUCAGGCGCGGGCUGCAGCACGCUGCAAUUACUGCCGCCCGUCAACGAUAAAUUGGCGCGCAAAAGAGAUUUAAGCCCCCGCCUGUGAACCGAAAGACCCAAGUGGAAAGUCCACCUGCACUUGAGUUUGUAAUGAGAAACAAUCUUUUGCUCCAUUGUGACUUUGGCGGUGGUUUUUCAUGGAUAUUAGUGAUGGCGCGAUGAAACGUCAUAACACUUCAGUUCGAGUAAUGCUUCGUUUUGCGAUGCUUCAUGUGCACACAAAACCACCUGCUGUGGCCUUGUGUGAUGCGUCGCAGUUUUGCAUCUUUUUUGGCUCUUGUGAAUGACUGCCUAUUACAAAAUGAGUUUUUGACCAAGUCAUUUCCCAACAGUGUAUCCUAAAGUACUUUUGGAGUGAGUCGACUGGGCAACAAGGAAACAGAGCAACGCAGCCAAGUGGAGAAUAAUACAGCAGCGUCCCAAGCUAAGCUACAACGGUGCAAACUAACGUUAGCGUGUGGCGAGGUGAGUAGGUACUGGGGAGCGAGGAAACGGAGCGCUGCAGCAAAGAGGAGACUUUGGAGUAUAAUCCUGCAGUGUCCGGAGCUCAGGCAUGGCAACGGGGCAUGCUAAUGUUAGCAUGUGGCGAGCUGAGUAGCAGUAGCAUUUCUAGCUCUUUCCCCUCCAAAUGUCACACGAACGAAUAUGCUCCACCACUGAACGACCUGCUGUGGUUUGCUUCAGCAUAUGGUAUCUGCUCUGCACGUUUAGAACUCCGGCUGACCGUUGCACCUGCUUUUGCUUGUGGACAUCACAUAACGCGAGCGACGGUCAAGGCAAUGCUGUCAACAAGAAGACGGCGAAUGAUGGGAGGUGCAACACGAGAGCUCCUUUGGCGUUUUCUGCUUUUCCUCCUCGAGUCUGCCAUCUCACAAUUGACGCCCUAUAUCUGCAUUGACCUUGAGGAACAUGCAGAAAGGCUUAGGGGAGUAGUUGAGCGGCAUGAAAGAGCAACUGGAUGAAAUGGACAUUCCCAGAGGGUGCGCCGGAUGCACCUCCAGACGCGCCCGCCGCAGGGAGGAGCCCCGAUAAGCAUUCUAGCGCCAUCGCAAGAACUGCCUUCCCUCUACGUCGUGUUUUUAUGCACGCAUGCAUUUGCUACAGUUCAUUUACACAUCAUGCCACAGUCCUGCUAUAAUGUCCUGAAAUCAGUGAGAAAUAAACGGUUCUAUUUGAACAUGUUCUGUCAUUUCUGUUAAAAAAAAACACAAAAAAAAAAGUGUGUUCCACGGUAUCACUAAAAGUUUCAUGGCAUAACUGCAAAGUAAUGAGGCGAAGAAAUUACACGUACAAACACCGUCUUCCUUUUCAGUUUCAGUUUGCUGUUGGAAAAGUCGCCUAUCGCAAUUCCUUGGGCUGAGCUUUACAAAUGGUCUUCAAUCUCGAGUGGGGAAUAUUUUGGCUUGGAGCAGAUGAGGGGCGGAAAGACGUCUGGCGAAAGGACACACUUUUGUGAUGUACGACCACGUUGAGAGCGUGAACAGACACGUCGAUGUGCAGUGGAGAUGGUGCGCUGAGAUGUGUGUGUGUGUG